Molecule: ribosomal RNA, 252 nt
Filed under: uncultured bacterium
Lineage: Bacteria
Description: partial 16S ribosomal RNA
Rfam family: Bacterial small subunit ribosomal RNA
Source: RNAcentral
UACGGAGGAUGCGAGCGUUAUCCGGAUUUAUUGGGUUUAAAGGGUGCGUAGGCGGAUCGUUAGGUCAGUGGUCAAAUUGAGGGGCUCAACCCCUUCCCGCCAUUGAAACUGGCGAUCUUGAGUGGAAGAGAAGUAUGCGGAAUGCGUGGUGUAGCGGUGAAAUGCAUAGAUAUCACGCAGAACCCCGAUUGCGAAGGCAGCAUGCCGGCUUCCUACUGACGCUGAAGCACGAAAGCGUGGGGAUCGAACAGG